Molecule: ribosomal RNA, 467 nt
Filed under: uncultured bacterium
Lineage: Bacteria
Description: partial 16S ribosomal RNA
Rfam family: Bacterial small subunit ribosomal RNA
Source: RNAcentral
ACGAACGCUGGCGGCGUGCUUAACCCCUGCAAGUCGCACGGAAAGGCCCUGCUUUUGUGGGGUGCUCGAGUGGCGAACGGGUGAGUAACACGUGAGUAACCUGCCCUUGACUUUGGGAUAACUUCAGGAAACUGGGGCUAAUACCGGAUAGGAGCUCCUGCUGCAUGGUGGGGGUUGGAAAGUUUCGGCGGUUGGGGAUGGACUCGCGGCUUAUCAGCUUGUUGGUGGGGUAGUGGCUUACCAAGGCUUUGACGGGUAGCCGGCCUGAGAGGGUGACCGGCCACAAUGGGACUGAGAUACGGCCCAGACUCCUACGGGAGGCAGCAGUGGGGAAUAUUGCACAAUGGGCGGAAGCCUGAUGCAGCAACGCCGCGUGCGGGAUGACGGCCUUCGGGUUGUAAACCGCUUUCGCCUGUGACGAAGCGUGAGUGACGGUAAUGGGUAAAGAAGCACCGGCUAACUACGUG